Long non-coding RNA from Hyaena hyaena (striped hyena), 771 nucleotides. RefSeq lists it as uncharacterized. The transcript has 3 exons. Lineage: Eukaryota; Metazoa; Chordata; Mammalia; Carnivora; Hyaenidae. The record is from RefSeq and is a predicted model, not a curated record.
GUGACGGCCGUAAAACCCUCAGCUCAGCGCCUGGCACAUCGUAAGCGCCCGGAUCACUGUUCUUGGAGCUCGAGCUGCCAGGGAAGAAAUCCCUAUCUCGGUGUUGUCAUGCUGGGGAAGCCGCAGGUGGACAACCUAGCCAACAGUGCCAGCUGUGCCCAAACUUCCACCGGCCCAGCCAGCCCAGGCAUCAGGCAGAUGCGGAGCCUGAGGCACAGAGCAGGGAAAGGGCCUUGAACAAGUUGGUGUCUCAGAUACAGGUAGAAUUUAAGCCUCCAUCCUUGUUGACUCACAGCCUUCCUGGAGGAAAGGGGCUUUCCAUGAACAUCUCCCUGGGCUCCAGGCAUCUCCUCCCCCAUCCCCCACGCCCCGGGGCUCCAGGCGGGGGAUGGGUUUGAAGAGAACCAUGCAAAGCACUCCCACACAGGACAACCUGCUGAGGACACCAGACUGGUGGGAGGUGACUUCACCCACAGAACAGAGUCUGCUGGUUGGUGCUAGAAGGCAGGUGUGAGAGGAAAGGCCUGGAGCUGUGCCUUUUGGCCCCUAUCCAGAUGUUCAACACAAUUAAGAUCUGCGGUCAGAUUAGAAAGCAGACUCGGAUUACAACUCACACUGUCUUGGAUCAGUUUACCAGAUUGGAAUGCUUCCUGAUAGAGGCUCAGCUGCCAAGAAAAGAACGGCUCUACAAAACCCGGGUUCAAGUCCCAGAUAAUGGUAGGGGCUGUCAUUUAUUGAGCAUUUCUAAGUGCCAUAAACUGCUAGACUUUA